This 502-nucleotide ribosomal RNA is filed under the name uncultured bacterium. RNAcentral describes it as "bacterial SSU rRNA". It matches the Rfam family "Bacterial small subunit ribosomal RNA", at positions 28 to 526 of the family's 1533-position model. The record is from RNAcentral.
GACGAACGCUGGCGGCGUGCUUAACACAUGCAAGUCGAGCGGGGAUAUGGUUGGAAGUUCUUCGGAACGGAAGAUCAUAUUCUAGCGGCGGACGGGUGAGUAACGCGUGAGCAAUCUGUCCCGGACAGGGGGAUAACACUUGGAAACAGGUGCUAAUACCGCAUAAGACCACGAUCUCACAUGGGAUUGAGGUAAAAGGAGGAAUCCGGUCUGGGGUGAGCUCGCGUCUGAUUAGCUGGUUGGUGGGGUAACGGCUCACCAAGGCGACGAUCAGUAGCCGGCCUGAGAGGGUGAACGGCCACAUUGGAACUGAGAGACGGUCCAAACUCCUACGGGAGGCAGCAGUGGGGAAUAUUGGGCAAUGGGCGAAAGCCUGACCCAGCAACGCCGCGUGAGGGAAGAAGGCUUUCGGGUUGUAAACCUCUGUCCUCAGGGAAGAAAAGAAUGACGGUACCUGAGGAGGAAGCCCCGGCUAACUACGUGCCAGCCGCCGCCGUAACAC